This 499-nucleotide ribosomal RNA is filed under the name uncultured bacterium. Its description in RNAcentral is "partial 16S ribosomal RNA". It matches the Rfam family "Bacterial small subunit ribosomal RNA", at positions 30 to 523 of the family's 1533-position model. The record is from RNAcentral.
AUUGAACGCUGGCGGCAUGCCUUACACAUGCAAGUCGAACGGCAGCACGGGAGCAAUCCUGGUGGCGAGUGGCGAACGGGUGAGUAAAGUAUCGGAACGUGCCCAGUCGUGGGGGAUAACGUAGCGAAAGUUACGCUAAUACCGCAUACGAUCUAUGAAUGAAAGCGGGGAUCGCAAGACCUCGCGCGAUUGGAGCGGACGAUAUCAGAUUAGGUAGUUGGUGGGGUAAAGGCUCACCAAGCCGACGAUCUGUAGCUGGUCUGAGAGGACGACCAGCCACACUGGGACUGAGACACGGCCCAGACUCCUACGGGAGGCAGCAGUGGGGAAUUUUGGACAAUGGGCGAAAGCCUGAUCCAGCCAUGCCGCGUGCAGGAUGAAGGCCUUCGGGUUGUAAACUGCUUUUGUACGGAACGAAAAGGUUUGGGCUAAUAAGCUGAGCUCAUGACGGUACCGUAAGAAUAAGCACCGGCUAACUACGUGCCAGCCGCCGCCGUAA